RNAcentral lists this ribosomal RNA (496 nucleotides) under uncultured bacterium. Its description in RNAcentral is "partial 16S ribosomal RNA". It matches the Rfam family "Bacterial small subunit ribosomal RNA", at positions 28 to 506 of the family's 1533-position model. The record is from RNAcentral.
GAUGAACGCUGGCGGCGUGCCUAAUACAUGCAAGUCGAGCGAACAGAUGAGGAGCUUGCUCCUCUGACGUUAGCGGCGGACGGGUGAGUAACACGUGGAUAACCUACCUAUAAGACUGGGAUAACUUCGGGAAACCGGAGCUAAUACCGGAUAAUAUAUUGAACCGCAUGGUUCAAUAGUGAAAGACGGUUUUGCUGUCACUUAUAGAUGGAUCCGCGCCGCAUUAGCUAGUUGGUAAGGUAACGGCUUACCAAGGCAACGAUGCGUAGCCGACCUGAGAGGGUGAUCGGCCACACCGGAACUGAGACACGGUCCAGACUCCUACGGGAGGCAGCAGUAGGGAAUCUUCCGCAAUGGGCGAAAGCCUGACGGAGCAACGCCGCGUGAGUGAUGAAGGUCUUCGGAUCGUAAAACUCUGUUAUUAGGGAAGAACAAAUGUGUAAGUAACUAUGCACGUCUGGACGGUACCUAAUCAGAAAGCCACGGCUAACUACGU